CAGCGGAGCAUGUGGUUUAAUUCGAAGCAACGCGAAGAACCUUACCAGAUCUUGACAUCCAAUUGACCAUCUUUUAAUCGAGAUUUUGCCUUCGGGUACAAUUGAGACAGGUGGUGCAUGGUUGUCGUCAGCUCGUGUCGUGAGAUGUUGGGUUAAGUCCCGCAACGAGCGCAACCCUUGUGUUUAGUUGCAAACAGGUCAAGCUGUGCACUCUAGACAGACUGCCGUGGACAACACAGAGGAAGGUGGGGAUGACGUCAAAUCAUCAUGCCCCUUAUGAUCUGGGCUACACACGUGCUACAAUGGCCGGUACAACGGGCAGCGGAGGAGCGAUCCGGAGCGAAUCCUAAAAAGCCGGUCCCAGUUCGGAUUGCAGGCUGAAACUCGCCUACAUGAAGUUGGAGUUGCUAGUAAUCGCGAAUCAGAAUGUCGCGGUGAAUGCGUUCCCGGGUCUU
RNAcentral lists this ribosomal RNA (455 nucleotides) under uncultured Fusibacter sp. RNAcentral describes it as "bacterial SSU rRNA". It matches the Rfam family "Bacterial small subunit ribosomal RNA", at positions 930 to 1382 of the family's 1533-position model. Lineage: Bacteria; Bacillati; Bacillota; Clostridia; Eubacteriales; Fusibacteraceae. The record is from RNAcentral.